Molecule: long non-coding RNA, 700 nt
Organism: Danaus plexippus (monarch butterfly)
Lineage: Eukaryota; Metazoa; Arthropoda; Insecta; Lepidoptera; Nymphalidae
Exons: 3
Source: RefSeq, a predicted model, not a curated record
GUUCGGUCUGGCAGCGUUAUCCAAAUCAAAUAAGUUUGUUGUUGUUAUUUAUAUAUGAAAUUCUCGAUUUUGGCUUGGUACGGACAACUCAGCUUAUAUGGAAACUACCAAUCUUGAUUGUGGGCAUUGUUGUCCCCCAAAAAGACCAGCUGUGCUGAGUGAGCAGAAUAUGGGGCAAAGGUCAUCUCCUCGUCAACUUGCCAGUUUCAUUGAAGAAUACUUCUUACGAAAUCAAGGCACAGAAUCCGGCGGAUUGGAGAAAAUCCUUCGUUUAACCAUGGGAAGUAAAACAAAUAUUGAACGUGAAUAGAGCUCUACUUAUUUAUUUCAAAUAUUUUCACUUCAUUAUGUAAAACAGUACACUAUUGUGGUAUAGUGUUUGUAAAACUAAGUUUAAUAUUAAAAAAAAAGAAAGCUGUGAGAUAUCUAUUUUAUAAGACUUCAAAAAUUUAUGCAAGAAGUUUCUACAGACUAGGUUUUUUUCAAGUUUUUAGGUUUCCGUUUAUUUAAUUUACAGAAAUUAAAUUUCAAUUUGACUUUUAUAAAAAUUUCUUAUCAAUACUAAUAUAUUUCAAAAUAUAAUUCAAGGCUCAGGUCUAAUGCAGUUGGUUUGUGGCUGAGGCUAGUAAAUCUGUUCCUGUAAGCUUUCACCACACACUUCCUUAGCCGGGUUUUUGAUUAAAUAUGAAUGAAGUUCGAA